UUAAGCGACUAAGCGUACACGGUGGAUGCCCUGGCAGUCAGAGGCGAUGAAGGACGUGCUAAUCUGCGAUAAGCGUCGGUAAGGUGAUAUGAACCGUUAUAACCGGCGAUUUCCGAAUGGGGAAACCCAGUGUGUUUCGACACACUAUCAUUAACUGAAUCCAUAGGUUAAUGAGGCGAACCGGGGGAACUGAAACAUCUAAGUACCCCGAGGAAAAGAAAUCAACCGAGAUUCCCCCAGUAGCGGCGAGCGAACGGGGAGCAGCCCAGAGCCUGAAUCAGUAUGUGUGUUAGUGGAAGCGUCUGGAAAGGCGCGCGAUACAGGGUGACAGCCCCGUACACAAAAAUGCACAUAUUGUGAGCUCGAUGAGUAGGGCGGGACACGUGGUAUCCUGUCUGAAUAUGGGGGGACCAUCCUCCAAGGCUAAAUACUCCUGACUGACCGAUAGUGAACCAGUACCGUGAGGGAAAGGCGAAAAGAACCCCGGCGAGGGGAGUGAAAAAGAACCUGAAACCGUGUACGUACAAGCAGUGGGAGCACGCUUAGGCGUGUGACUGCGUACCUUUUGUAUAAUGGGUCAGCGACUUAUAUUCUGUAGCAAGGUUAACCGAAUAGGGGAGCCGAAGGGAAACCGAGUCUUAACUGGGCGUUAAGUUGCAGGGUAUAGACCCGAAACCCGGUGAUCUAGCCAUGGGCAGGUUGAAGGUUGGGUAACACUAACUGGAGGACCGAACCGACUAAUGUUGAAAAAUUAGCGGAUGACUUGUGGCUGGGGGUGAAAGGCCAAUCAAACCGGGAGAUAGCUGGUUCUCCCCGAAAGCUAUUUAGGUAGCGCCUCGUGAAUUCAUCUCCGGGGGUAGAGCACUGUUUCGGCAAGGGGGUCAUCCCGACUUACCAACCCGAUGCAAACUGCGAAUACCGGAGAAUGUUAUCACGGGAGACACACGGCGGGUGCUAACGUCCGUCGUGAAGAGGGAAACAACCCAGACCGCCAGCUAAGGUCCCAAAGUCAUGGUUAAGUGGGAAACGAUGUGGGAAGGCCCAGACAGCCAGGAUGUUGGCUUAGAAGCAGCCAUCAUUUAAAGAAAGCGUAAUAGCUCACUGGUCGAGUCGGCCUGCGCGGAAGAUGUAACGGGGCUAAACCAUGCACCGAAGCUGCGGCAGCGACACUAUGUGUUGUUGGGUAGGGGAGCGUUCUGUAAGCCUGUGAAGGUGUGCUGUGAGGCAUGCUGGAGGUAUCAGAAGUGCGAAUGCUGACAUAAGUAACGAUAAAGCGGGUGAAAAGCCCGCUCGCCGGAAGACCAAGGGUUCCUGUCCAACGUUAAUCGGGGCAGGGUGAGUCGACCCCUAAGGCGAGGCCGAAAGGCGUAGUCGAUGGGAAACAGGUUAAUAUUCCUGUACUUGGUGUUACUGCGAAGGGGGGACGGAGAAGGCUAUGUUGGCCGGGCGACGGUUGUCCCGGUUUAAGCGUGUAGGCUGGUUUUCCAGGCAAAUCCGGAAAAUCAAGGCUGAGGCGUGAUGACGAGGCACUACGGUGCUGAAGCAACAAAUGCCCUGCUUCCAGGAAAAGCCUCUAAGCAUCAGGUAACAUCAAAUCGUACCCCAAACCGACACAGGUGGUCAGGUAGAGAAUACCAAGGCGCUUGAGAGAACUCGGGUGAAGGAACUAGGCAAAAUGGUGCCGUAACUUCGGGAGAAGGCACGCUGAUAUGUAGGUGAAGUCCCUCGCGGAUGGAGCUGAAAUCAGUCGAAGAUACCAGCUGGCUGCAACUGUUUAUUAAAAACACAGCACUGUGCAAACACGAAAGUGGACGUAUACGGUGUGACGCCUGCCCGGUGCCGGAAGGUUAAUUGAUGGGGUUAGCCGCAAGGCGAAGCUCUUGAUCGAAGCCCCGGUAAACGGCGGCCGUAACUAUAACGGUCCUAAGGUAGCGAAAUUCCUUGUCGGGUAAGUUCCGACCUGCACGAAUGGCGUAAUGAUGGCCAGGCUGUCUCCACCCGAGACUCAGUGAAAUUGAACUCGCUGUGAAGAUGCAGUGUACCCGCGGCAAGACGGAAAGACCCCGUGAACCUUUACUAUAGCUUGACACUGAACAUUGAGCCUUGAUGUGUAGGAUAGGUGGGAGGCUUUGAAGUGUGGACGCCAGUCUGCAUGGAGCCGACCUUGAAAUACCACCCUUUAAUGUUUGAUGUUCUAACGUUGA
RNAcentral lists this ribosomal RNA (2204 nucleotides) under Escherichia coli. Its description in RNAcentral is "bacterial LSU rRNA". It matches the Rfam family "Bacterial large subunit ribosomal RNA", at positions 1 to 2231 of the family's 2925-position model. The record is from RNAcentral. Lineage: Bacteria; Pseudomonadati; Pseudomonadota; Gammaproteobacteria; Enterobacterales; Enterobacteriaceae.